UACGUAGGGUGCGAGCGUUAAUCGGAAUUACUGGGCGUAAAGCGUGCGCAGGCGGUUCGUUAAGUCGGCUGUGAAAGCCCCGGGCUUAACCUGGGAAUGGCGGUUGAAACUGGCGAACUUGAAUCUGGCAGAGGGGGGUGGAAUUCCACGUGUAGCAGUGAAAUGCGUAGAGAUGUGGAGGAACACCGAUGGCGAAGGCAGCCCCCUGGGCUGAGAUUGACGCUCAGGCACGAAAGCGUGGGGAGCAAACAGG
RNAcentral lists this ribosomal RNA (253 nucleotides) under uncultured bacterium. RNAcentral's name for it is "partial 16S ribosomal RNA". It matches the Rfam family "Bacterial small subunit ribosomal RNA", at positions 524 to 776 of the family's 1533-position model. The record is from RNAcentral.